Molecule: long non-coding RNA, 950 nt
Organism: Colossoma macropomum (tambaqui)
Lineage: Eukaryota; Metazoa; Chordata; Actinopteri; Characiformes; Serrasalmidae
Exons: 4
Source: RefSeq, a predicted model, not a curated record
UGGUCCCGAAUUACUUGGAAUAAAAUAUCAUAAUAAAUGUUUUUUCCUUCUGUUGUUAACUUUCCAUUUUGGAGUACAAGCUUUUGUUACAACAGCAAGAGCUUUCAUAACAGUUUCGGAGUCAGUUAAAAUCCUGUUGAAUGUGUUCCCCCAGUGUUGCAUCAGACCCGAUACUAACCGCCAUAAAACACUAAAACAGCAGCUAUGAUGAGCUGGGGCUGAUAACAAAGCUCUAGCACAGUGAACCACCUGCCCUGAGGAAGUGGGGAGGCAUAAAGGAGGAUAUACAGCAAAAAACGUCUCGCUCCAAAAACUGGUGUCUUUCAUUCCACCUGCUUUGCUUUUGUUUCUUGAUUGAGGUGUCUCCUGGCUAAUUACAGAGAUUUGCAUUGUCCUCACAGGAAAUGAGGGCUUAGCACAGGAUGUUCUCUGCCAGUUGGAUAAUCACUGGAGACUGGAGUUUUUGGUGCUGCACAAGCGUACCUGCAACCACAGCCCUGCUCCAACUUGCCAUCAUCAGAAAAAAGAUUUCAUCGAUCAGUUUAAGUGCUGGAUGGGCAAAAGAGCUGCUUGGUGAGUAGAACAAAUUGAUCUGACCUAGUGAAAAAGUUGAGAAUUUCCAUCACUAAAGGUAAACGUGCUAUCGCCACAUAACCAAGAUCACCAGAAUGGGGACUUUUUUUAAACUAUUCUUGUAAAGAAACACAACUCCUCUUCAUAAAGGUAGCACUUUUAGUCACAUGUAAAUAAAAUGCUUUACCUUAUGGGUUUACUGGCACUGAGUUUAAAAAAACAGGGCAAACGAAGUGGCUAAUCUCUUAGGAUAAAGUCCGUUACACAGGCAUCCUUUCUGCUCGUAUGUCAUAAAGAUAUGACUUUUUCCUUAAUCUUGUACCAGGGUAUUGCCUUAGAUGACUUCCUUAAAUACCUGUUUACAAAGUUAUACUACG